AAGCAUUUCGCUCAUCACCAAGGUUAAAAAAAUUAAACGGAAAAAGAUUGGGAUCGAUCAUAUACCCUAAUCUCUAGUUUCUUUAGAUUUCUUAUCAUUUGUUCUGUAUUCCAUAACCUAAUCCUCAGUUUUCAAAUUGAUGCCUCUCAUAGUCCACAACCCCACCAUCAUCGACACUGGACCAUCCAAACACAAUGUCGCACACCAUACCAUCACGAGAAUAGGUAUGAUUCCAAUUGUGAUUUUGAUUUUGAUUUAGUUGUUGAUUUUUUUUUUCAAUUUCCAAACGUAAAAGAAAAGCAGACCAUCGCUUCAUCGGACAUUUGGUAAUCCAUCUAUUAAUUCUUGUUGUUUUCGGCAAGUUUUGCAAAUUCAUAUCUUGACUCUGUUACAUGUUUCUCCGUUUAUUUUAAAUCCAAAACUAGGUUGAAUUUCAAAACUUAAAUCCAUCAUAAGCACGCUACUUGAUAGGAUCACGAUUUUAUUUUGGUUCAUGUAGAAUUUCAAAAGCUAAAUUGAGGGAUUACAUUCAGAAAAUUAAAGCAAUUGCUGCUAACUUGGCUUCCCAGGUGCCGCUGCUGAAGUUGCCAUUAUUAACUUCUCGAAUCCUUGAAAGCUUCUUCUAGAAAUGGGUAAAAAUAAGAAAUUGAAAAGAAUUUACCUCUGGUUUUUUCUUUUACUUUCAUUUUCUAACUGAUCCCUUCAAUUUGUUUCUCUUUAACAAUUCAACAUUUUUUUUUUCACUUCAGGUGACUAUUGGCGCUUUACAACUUGAAGUAAGUUUCUUAUUUUUUAUAUCUCAAAACUCUCUCAUAAAGUGGUUAUAGUCCGAUAUUUGAUUUGAUAAAUAUAUAUGCUUUUCGAUGAGGAAUCUUUUAAUAUUUCAUAUUUGAGGUUAUACAGUUAAGUUAUUGUGUUAGGUGACAUGUUAUGUUGUUGCUCCACAAGUGUUUGAUGAAAUGCCUACACGAAAGUAAUAGUACAAAAUACCACUUCACUUUAUUGUACAUAGUUCCAGGAGCUUAAUAUCAUUAUAUCUGGCUUUCAGCUAUAAUAAUAAGAAUGGGGUCGAGUAAUGUUUAUAAAAUAUAAUUAUAUGCUAAUUUACAGCAUACAAAUAUUUGGGCCUUGUAUGUACAUACAUUCUCACUCAUUUUGGUGUUACAAGUGUAUCAUAUUUUUGUAUUAUUUCAAAUUGUUAUCGACAUUUUUAUAUUAUUUCUUACUUUUAUUGGUCUAUGCUGUGGCAGUGAACUAAAUGUCAGUCCUGAUGCAUCCGAGUUGUGUAGGUGAUCUCUAUCUCAAAAUUUAUUUAUAAUCAAUAAAUUAGAAAUGAAUAACAAUCAAUAUGAAAACAAACAAAAUGUUAAUCAUUUAUCUUUUUCUUUUAAAUUUAUUUGUUUCUAGAUGAUGUUUGUGAGAUGACUUCAAAUAAUAGAGAUAAUAGGUUCAAUUUUCUUUUAGGAGUGGAGAGAAGGAAGAGGUUACAUAAACAAAGAGAAACAAUCUUUUUUUGAAGACUUUUUAUUUUAAAUAUAGACAAUAUUGUUGUUAAACAAGUUAAAUUUGAAUUUAAGUAAUGAUAAUAGGUUCUCCAUUUAUUA
This 1604-nucleotide long non-coding RNA is filed under the name Lactuca sativa (garden lettuce). RNAcentral describes it as "long non-coding RNA (LSAT_LNC003431)". The record is from RNAcentral. Lineage: Eukaryota; Viridiplantae; Streptophyta; Magnoliopsida; Asterales; Asteraceae.